UACGUAGGGGGCAAGCGUUGUUCGGAAUUACUGGGCGUAAAGGGCGCGUAGGCGGCCUGUUAAGUCGAACGUGAAAUCCCCGGGCUCAACCCGGGAACUGCGUCCGAUACUGGCAGGCUUGAAUCCGGGAGAGGGAUGCGGAAUUCCAGGUGUAGCGGUGAAAUGCGUAGAUAUCUGGAGGAACACCGGUGGCGAAGGCGGCAUCCUGGACCGGCAUUGACGCUGAGGCGCGAAAGCCAGGGGAGCAAACGGG
This 253-nucleotide ribosomal RNA is filed under the name uncultured bacterium. RNAcentral describes it as "partial 16S ribosomal RNA". It matches the Rfam family "Bacterial small subunit ribosomal RNA", at positions 524 to 776 of the family's 1533-position model. The record is from RNAcentral.